RNAcentral lists this ribosomal RNA (506 nucleotides) under uncultured bacterium. RNAcentral describes it as "partial 16S ribosomal RNA". It matches the Rfam family "Bacterial small subunit ribosomal RNA", at positions 29 to 523 of the family's 1533-position model. The record is from RNAcentral.
AGUGAACGCUGGCGGUAGGCCUAACACAUGCAAGUCGAACGGCAGCACAGGAGAGCUUGCUCUCUGGGUGGCGAGUGGCGGACGGGUGAGGAAUACAUCGGGAUCUACUUUUUCGUGGGGGAUAACGUAGGGAAACUUACGCUAAUACCGCAUACGACCUACGGGUGAAAGCAGGGGAUCUUCGGACCUUGCGUGAUUGAAUGAGCCGAUGUCGGAUUAGCUAGUUGGCGGGGUAAAGGCCCACCAAGGCGACGAUCCGUAGCUGGUCUGAGAGGAUGAUCAGCCACACUGGAACUGAGACACGGUCCAGACUCCUACGGGAGGCAGCAGUGGGGAAUAUUGGACAAUGGGCGCAAGCCUGAUCCAGCCAUACCGCGUGGGUGAAGAAGGCCUUCGGGUUGUAAAGCCCUUUUGUUGGGAAAGAAAUCCAGCUGGUUAAUACCCGGUUGGGAUGACGGUACCCAAAGAAUAAGCACCGGCUAACUUCGUGCCAGCCGCCGCGGUAA